This 1002-nucleotide ribosomal RNA is filed under the name Salmonella enterica. Its description in RNAcentral is "bacterial LSU rRNA". It matches the Rfam family "Bacterial large subunit ribosomal RNA", at positions 1180 to 2141 of the family's 2925-position model. Lineage: Bacteria; Pseudomonadati; Pseudomonadota; Gammaproteobacteria; Enterobacterales; Enterobacteriaceae. The record is from RNAcentral.
UUACGAUUGACGGAGCGAAGCGACGUCAAAGCGUAUACAAAGUCGAGUCGGUUUAAGGAUACGUUCGUUGGGUAGGGGAGCGUUCUGUAAGCCUGUGAAGGUGGCCUGUGAGGGUUGCUGGAGGUAUCAGAAGUGCGAAUGCUGACAUAAGUAACGAUAAAGCGGGUGAAAAGCCCGCUCGCCGGAAGACCAAGGGUUCCUGUCCAACGUUAAUCGGGGCAGGGUGAGUCGACCCCUAAGGCGAGGCCGAAAGGCGUAGUCGAUGGGAAACGGGUUAAUAUUCCCGUACUUGGUGUUACUGCGAAGGGGGGACGGAGAAGGCUAUGUUGGCCGGGCGACGGUUGUCCCGGUUUAAGCGUGUAGGUGUGUGUUCCAGGUAAAUCCGGUUCACUUUAACACUGAGGCGUGACGACGAGGCACUACGGUGCUGAAGCAACAAAUGCCCUGCUUCCAGGAAAAGCCUCUAAGCAUCAGGUAACAUCAAAUCGUACCCCAAACCGACACAGGUGGUCAGGUAGAGAAUACCAAGGCGCUUGAGAGAACUCGGGUGAAGGAACUAGGCAAAAUGGUGCCGUAACUUCGGGAGAAGGCACGCUGACACGUAGGUGAAGUGAUUUACUCAUGGAGCUGAAGUCAGUCGAAGAUACCAGCUGGCUGCAACUGUUUAUUAAAAACACAGCACUGUGCAAACACGAAAGUGGACGUAUACGGUGUGACGCCUGCCCGGUGCCGGAAGGUUAAUUGAUGGGGUCAGCGCAAGCGAAGCUCCUGAUCGAAGCCCCGGUAAACGGCGGCCGUAACUAUAACGGUCCUAAGGUAGCGAAAUUCCUUGUCGGGUAAGUUCCGACCUGCACGAAUGGCGUAAUGAUGGCCAGGCUGUCUCCACCCGAGACUCAGUGAAAUUGAACUCGCUGUGAAGAUGCAGUGUACCCGCGGCAAGACGGAAAGACCCCGUGAACCUUUACUAUAGCUUGACACUGAACAUUGAGCCUUGAUGUGUAG